Molecule: long non-coding RNA, 434 nt
Organism: Cebus imitator (Panamanian white-faced capuchin)
Lineage: Eukaryota; Metazoa; Chordata; Mammalia; Primates; Cebidae
Exons: 4
Source: RefSeq, a predicted model, not a curated record
UGGACUCUCCUGAUCAGCCUGGGAAAAGUCUGAGCAAAGUCUUCAGGGGCAAAUACAGCUUACUCAGACAAAAAAGCCAGUCAGUGGCAAGUCUAGGCAGAAGCCAGGAGGUGUUAGGAACAGACUAGAAGACAUGGUUGUUCUGGAGGAAAAAGGGUAAAACUUAAGAUAACUGUAAAAAUUAAGGGACUGCUACUAUGUGCUGUUAAGGAAAUAACAGGCACCUGGGAAAACCCACCAAGUAAGGUUUUGUAAGAAGUUGCUCUGCUCCCCGCGAGAAAAUGCCGAGCUCAACAGGCCAAGAGGAACAAGUCUGGGAAAUUACGACAUGAGAUGUGACCACAUGUUGAUGACCUCAUGUAAGCUGUGGAAGAAUUCCAUUGUGUCUGGGGAGAUAAUACAGAUGGAGUUUCGUUCUUUUGCCCAGGCUGGAG